UACGUAGGGACCAAGCGUUGUUCGGAUUUACUGGGCGUAAAGCGCACGUAGGCGGAUCGUUAAGUCGGGGGUGAAAUCCUGGAGCUCAACUCCAGAACUGCCUUCGAUACUGGCGAUCUUGAGUCCGGAAGAGGUGAGUGGAACUCCUAGUGUAGAGGUGGAAUUCGUAGAUAUUGGGAAGAACACCGGUGGCGAAGGCGGCUCUCUGGACCGAGACUGACGCUGAGGCGCGAAAGCGUGGGGAGCAAACAGG
RNAcentral lists this ribosomal RNA (253 nucleotides) under uncultured bacterium. RNAcentral's name for it is "partial 16S ribosomal RNA". It matches the Rfam family "Bacterial small subunit ribosomal RNA", at positions 524 to 776 of the family's 1533-position model. The record is from RNAcentral.